RNAcentral lists this ribosomal RNA (433 nucleotides) under uncultured bacterium. RNAcentral describes it as "partial 16S ribosomal RNA". It matches the Rfam family "Bacterial small subunit ribosomal RNA", at positions 29 to 507 of the family's 1533-position model. The record is from RNAcentral.
AACGAACGCUGGCGGCAUGCCUAACACAUGCAAGUCGAACGAGACCUUCGGGUCUAGUGGCGCACGGGUGCGUAACGCGUGGGAACCUGCCCUUAGGUUCGGAAUAACUCCCCGAAAGGGGUGCUAAUACCGGAUAAUGUCUUCGGACCAAAGAUUUAUCGCCUUUGGAUGGGCCCGCGUUGGAUUAGCUAGUUGGUAGGGUAAAAGCCUACCAAGGCGACGAUCCAUAGCUGGUCGGAGAGGAUGAUCAGCCACACUGGGACUGAGACACGGCCCAGACUCCUGCGGGAGGCAGCGGUGGGGAAUAUUGGAGAAUGGGCGAAAGCCUGAUCCAGCAAUGCCGCGUGAGUGAUGAAGGCCUUAGGGUUGUAAAGCUCUUGUACCCGGGAUGAUAAUGACAGUACCGGGAGAAUAAGCUCCGGCUAACUCCGUG